GUGCCAGCAGCCGCGGUAAUACGUAGGGACCAAGCGUUGUUCGGAUUUACUGGGCGUAAAGGGUGCGUAGGCGGCGCGUCAAGUCAGUUGUGAAAUCUUAAGGCUUAACCUUAAACGGUCAACUGAUACUGUCGUGCUAGAGUGCAGAAAGGGCAAUCGGAAUUCUUGGUGUAGCGGUGAAAUGCGUAGAUAUCAAGAGGAACACCUGAGGCGAAGGCGGGUUGCUUGGCUGACACUGACGCUGAGGCACGAAAGCUAGGGUAGCAAACGGGAUUAGAUACCCCCGUAGUCC
RNAcentral lists this ribosomal RNA (292 nucleotides) under uncultured bacterium. RNAcentral describes it as "partial 16S ribosomal RNA". It matches the Rfam family "Bacterial small subunit ribosomal RNA", at positions 505 to 796 of the family's 1533-position model. The record is from RNAcentral.